Non-coding RNA from Salmo salar (Atlantic salmon), 430 nucleotides. The record is from RefSeq and is a predicted model, not a curated record. Lineage: Eukaryota; Metazoa; Chordata; Actinopteri; Salmoniformes; Salmonidae.
CUUUUUUGUUUGCUGAUCUGCAGUGAUUUGGUGAAUGACAUCGACAGUAGACAUUACAUAGCUGCAGCUAGCCUAGUGGUUAAGAGCGUUGGGCCUGUAACCGAAAGUUUGCUGGUUUGAAUACGUGAGCCGACUAGCUGAAAAAUCUGUUGAUGUACCCUUGAGCAAGGCACUUAACCCUAAUUGCUCCUUUAUGUUGCUCUGGAUGAGAGCGUCUGCUAAAUGACUAAAAUGUAAAAUAGCUAUAGAAGGUUUCUUGUAUCUUGGUCUGUUCAGUGAUUUGGUGAAGGACAUCUACCAUAGAUAUUAAAUAGCUAUAGAAGGUUUCUUGUAUCUUGUUCUGUUCAGUGAUUUGGUGAAGGACAUCUACCAUAGAUAUUAAAUAGCUAUAGAAGGUUUCUUAGAAAUGUUUCCUAAAGUUCUGUUUUUU